RNAcentral lists this ribosomal RNA (512 nucleotides) under uncultured Hanseniaspora. Its description in RNAcentral is "eukaryotic LSU rRNA". It matches the Rfam family "Eukaryotic large subunit ribosomal RNA", at positions 62 to 573 of the family's 3401-position model. The record is from RNAcentral. Lineage: Eukaryota; Fungi; Ascomycota; Saccharomycetes; Saccharomycodales; Saccharomycodaceae.
AAACCAACUGGGAUUACCUUAGUAACGGCGAGUGAAGCGGUAAAAGCUCAAAUUUGAAAUCUGGUACUUUCAGUGCCCGAGUUGUAAUUUGUAGAAUUUGUCUUUGAUUAGGUCCUUGUCUAUGUUCCUUGGAACAGGACGUCAUAGAGGGUGAGAAUCCCGUUUGGCGAGGAUACCUUUUCUCUGUAAGACUUUUUCGAAGAGUCGAGUUGUUUGGGAAUGCAGCUCAAAGUGGGUGGUAAAUUCCAUCUAAAGCUAAAUAUUGGCGAGAGACCGAUAGCGAACAAGUACAGUGAUGGAAAGAUGAAAAGAACUUUGAAAAGAGAGUGAAAAAGUACGUGAAAUUGUUGAAAGGGAAGGGCAUUUGAUCAGACAUGGUGUUUUUGCAUGCACUCGCCUCUCGUGGGCUUGGGCCUCUCAAAAAUUUCACUGGGCCAACAUCAGUUCUGGCAGCAGGAUAAAUCAUUAAGAAUGUAGCUACCUCGGUAGUGUUAUAGCUUAUUGGAAUACUG